RNAcentral lists this long non-coding RNA (661 nucleotides) under Lathyrus oleraceus (garden pea). RNAcentral describes it as "Pisum sativum (pea) long non-coding RNA (PSAT_LNC005195)". Lineage: Eukaryota; Viridiplantae; Streptophyta; Magnoliopsida; Fabales; Fabaceae. The record is from RNAcentral.
CACUUUGUCAUUAUCUCCCUACUCUUCAAAACACAUUUGAUGUGGCCUAUCUACAACUUCUUUCUUGGUACUUCAUUGAGGAAGACAUCAACAAAUUAUUAGUCCAAAUAAAUAUAUGAAUACAAAGUAUUAUUCCAUCAACAAAGUAUUAAGUCAGCAGCCUAUUAGGUCGGCUUAUGUGUUCAGGCGCGGAGUGAUUUGUUAUUCCGUUUUUGUCUGCUUACAGUUGGUUCAAGGAGCAACUAGUUCGUUUAUGUGCCAAUAUUUUAGUCUGGUUCUGGUUUGGAAGUUGGGGUCUAAUUAUGUCUAUUACUGUUUGUAUGUUUUUCUUUUUGUAAUUUCCUCAUUUAUUAGGUGCUUGGGUUUAAAGUAAAGUGGGUGGGUGGAUAUGGUACUGAUGUCUGUUUUUCUGCUGUAGCAGUUUAUUAUUUAGGUCCAUGCAUAAUUCUAGUAGCAGGGAUUCUGAUUUCGCUGUAUUGUUUGGCAUAGCUUAUGCCUUUAAUAGUUAAUAUAUAUCAUUGUUUUGCUGCUUAAAAAAAAUGAAUACGCUAAAGACUUUAAGUACUCAAAAUCAAAUUGAAAAAUUGCCAUUACCACAAUCCAAUCAUCAUCACAGUGAAAUGUUCAAUGAACACAAAUCAAAAUGUUUGUCAAUUAAAAA